AUUCUGUGAUGAGGGCACUUUAGUAAUAAUUCUUUGAAUCUUUCCCAUGCCUCAUACAAGGACUCAUCAUCCAUUUGUUGGAAAGUAGUAAUCUCAUUUCUCAGCUU
Gossypium hirsutum (cotton) is the source of this 107-nucleotide non-coding RNA. The record is from Rfam. Lineage: Eukaryota; Viridiplantae; Streptophyta; Magnoliopsida; Malvales; Malvaceae.